GUGAGGAAUAUUGGUCAAUGGGCGGGAGCCUGAACCAGCCAAGUCGCGUGAAGGAAGAAGGAUCUAUGGUUCGUAAACUUCUUUUGCAGGGGAAUAAAGUGCAGGACGUGUCCUGUUUUGUAUGUACCCUGAGAAUAAGGAUCGGCUAACUCCGUGCCAGCAGCCGCGGUAAUACGGAGGAUCCGAGCGUUAUCCGGAUUUAUUGGGUUUAAAGGGUGCGUAGGUGGUUCGAUAUGUCAGCGGUGAAAGUUUGCAGCUUAACUGUAAAAAUGCCGUUGAAACUGUCGGACUUGAGUGUAAAUGAGGUAGGCGGAAUGCGUUGUGUAGCGGUGAAAUGCAUAGAUGUCACGCAGAACUCCGAUUGCGAAGGCAGCUUACUGAGCUACAACUGACACUGAAGCACGAAAGCGUGGGGAUCAAACAGGAUUAGAAACCCCGGUAGUCC
RNAcentral lists this ribosomal RNA (445 nucleotides) under uncultured bacterium. RNAcentral's name for it is "partial 16S ribosomal RNA". It matches the Rfam family "Bacterial small subunit ribosomal RNA", at positions 354 to 796 of the family's 1533-position model. The record is from RNAcentral.